RNAcentral lists this ribosomal RNA (451 nucleotides) under uncultured bacterium. Its description in RNAcentral is "partial 16S ribosomal RNA". It matches the Rfam family "Bacterial small subunit ribosomal RNA", at positions 28 to 507 of the family's 1533-position model. The record is from RNAcentral.
GAUGAAUGCUGGCGGCGUGCCUAACACAUGCAAGUCGAGCGGCAGCGAGGGGUGCAUGCACCCUGUCGGCGAGCGGCGAACGGCUGAGUAACGCGUAGGAAUUUGCCCCAAAGUGAGGAAUAACUGCCCGAAAGGGUAGCUAAUGCCGCAUAUGGUCUUCGGAUUAAAGGAUUUAUCCGCUUUGGGAGAAGCCUGCGUUGGAUUAGGUUGUUGGUAGGGUAAUGGCCUACCAAGCCGACGAUCCAUAGCUGGUCUGAGAGGAUGAUCAGCCAGACUGGAACUGAGACACGGUCCAGACUCCUACGGGAGGCAGCAGUGAGGAAUCUUCCACAAUGGGCGAAAGCCUGAUGGAGCAACGCCGCGUGAAGGAUGAAGGCCUUCGGGUUGUAAACUUCUUUUAUGAGUGAAGAAUAUGACGGUAACUCAUGAAUAAGCACCGGCUAACUACGUG